AAGAGAGAGAGAGAGAGAGAGAAAGAGAGAGAGAGAGAGAGAGAGAGACCCUGUCUCAAAAAUAAAUAAUAAAAUCUGAAUCUGUCAUUUUCUUGUACUUUAUACUGGUCAGGUUACUUAAUCUUCUGAGCUUUAAUGGCCUCAUUACUAAUGUGGAGAUAAUAAUCCAUACAAAGGAGGAUUUAGGGAUUCAGUGAGAGUCUACAGAGGGCACCUGGUGUUGGGUUUGGCGCAUGGCGGCGCCUAGUAAGUGGCAGCUCUUCCGUCUGGGCCCCUCCCUCUCCCCGGGCCUGUAUCUUGUGGCUCCUGCAGGGCCCUUCACUUGAGCCAUUUGCUGUCUGCCUUACCUAGAGGUCAAAGGUGUAAGUUUUUCUCAUUCCAAGUAAGUGCAGUUCCUCAAAUGUUUCUUGAACACCAGCAACAGGGUCCACAUUGAGUGCGGAGGAUACAGGAGCCACUCUGCUGCCGCUUUGCCUCUCGGACACUCAGGGCCAAAUGAGAGCGAGGAGCAGUAAGUCAAGCCCAGAGCAGCCACUUCACAGGGAACCCAGGUCCUACUCCCAUCCCAGGAAGCCGGGGGCCUGGGUCCAGAGCAAAAGCAUGGAGCCCAAGGCACACGGACAGUGUCUGCAGGGAAGCCUGGAUCAAGAACUCAGCAGACUGUCAGCUCUGGGCCAAAUUGCAAGAAGCUCCCAAGGGCCCGAGCCUUGCAUAAUCUCCUGGGAGCCACCUUUCUAGUACAUGACAACGACCUCCCCACUGGUAGGUAACCUGAUGAAGACAAUCAGAUUUGUUCUCCUUGGAGCUUGGAAUUGUGACUAAUGCAUUGGUCUCAGAUCGGGCUGUUUAGCUUGAGCAGAUACAUAAACUCAGAGGCUCUGAAGCAGCCAGGUUUGUCCUCAUGUAGGACAAAGCAGUGAGUCUGUCUGUAUUGAGGGAGAAUGAGAAGAACAGAGAAAUGAGAAAGGGGGCAAUCGAGCCCGUGUCCCUGGAUCUCUCUGAGAUGCCUUUCCAAUAAAGGUCCAUUGUGGCUGAAGCUCAUUUGAGGUAGGUUUCACUUACCUGCAACCCAAGACAAUGACAUCAGUGCCUUGAGCCACAGUCCCUCAGCAUUGCUGGUUGUCAUUCUGCCAGUCUUGUCCCUGCAGCCCUGGGCAGAACAGGAAGCUGUGGGAGGAAAUGCCUCCUGCUCCUAGGGCCUUUGGAGGCAGGUACCCCCUUCCAGGCUGCUCUAGUGCCCGCUGCCUCAACGGGGCCUUCCUAGCCUGGCAAAGGGGACAAGAGGUUAAAGCCCUCACUGUUUCCAUCUCCCCUUGUCACCAAUGAAAAGAAAAACAAGAAAAACAUCUCUUCCAAAAUAACAAGUCAGCAGAACCAGUGGAGGAGCAAGUCAUCAAUUUUUUCUAGGAAACUGGCAAACACUUUUCGAGGGUGUUAAAGAUAAUCAGACACAAAAAUAAAAUUUAAUUGGCACUAGUUUCUCCCUCAGAAAACUGAACACAAAGAUGAAAAUAUAAAAUAUGUAGGCUUUGAAGAGAGAGGUUUCUGGAAAAUCGAUAAAAGAAGUCAGUGCCAUCUGAUUGCUUUUUUUUUUUUUUUGAGACAGAGUCUUGCUCUGUCACCCAGGCUGCAGUGCAGUGGUACAAUCUUUGUUCACUGCAGCCUCUGCCUCCCAGAUUCAAGCCAUUCUCCUGCCUCAGCCUCCCAAGCAACUGGGACUACAGGCAUGUGCCACCGCACCUGGCUAAUUUUUGCAUUUUUAGUAGAGAUGGGGCUUCAGCACGUUGGCUAGGCUGGUCUCGAACUUGUGGCCUCAAGUGAUCCACCCACCUUGGCCUCCUGAAGUGCUAGGAUUACAGGCGUAAGCCACUGCGCCCAGCCUGAUUGCUAUUUUUUAAAGUGGAGAGAUACUCUUAGCACAUUUUUAUUCGUAUCUGAUAUCAAAAGAAAUAACAUCACGCACUUGUAACUCUGAAAACCCAUGGUCAGGGCAGUCCUGCCCUUGGACUGAGGAGAUGGAACCCCUUGGGACAGGCUCAUCACGAAUUCUCCUUAUGGGAAAGGAAAUCAGAAUUCCUCAGCAGAGUCCUGACAGAGAGAAGAACCAAAGGGAACCACGACUUGUGAAAACAUGGUGUGACUGAAUGCAAAGCUCACUUAAAAACAUGAAAAAAUAUGUAUUAUAAUUCAAGGGAUUUUUUUUAGAAAUUAAUAUUCU
This 2218-nucleotide long non-coding RNA is filed under the name Aotus nancymaae (Ma's night monkey). RNAcentral describes it as "lncRNA (ENSANAG00000039060.1)". Lineage: Eukaryota; Metazoa; Chordata; Mammalia; Primates; Aotidae. The record is from RNAcentral.